CAAUAGCGUAUAUUAAAGUUGUUGCGGUUAAAAAGCUCGUAGUUGGAUUUCUGCCGAGGACGACCGGUCCGCCCUCUGGGUGAGUAUCUGGCUCGGCCUGGGCAUCUUCUUGGAGAACGUAGCUGCACUUGACUGUGUGGUGCGGCAUCCAGGACUUUUACUUUGAGGAAAUUAGAGUGUUUCAAGCAGGCUUACGCCUUGAAUACAUUAGCAUGGAAUAAUAAGAUAGGACCUCGGUUCUAUUUUGUUGGUUUCUAGAGCUGAGGUAAUGAUUAAUAGGGAUAGUUGGGGGCAUUCGUAUUUAACUGUCAGAGGUGAAAUUCUUGGAUUUGUUAAAGACGGACUACUGCGAANGNAUUUGCNAAGGAUGUUUNCAUUG
RNAcentral lists this ribosomal RNA (379 nucleotides) under uncultured eukaryote. Its description in RNAcentral is "partial 18S ribosomal RNA". It matches the Rfam family "Eukaryotic small subunit ribosomal RNA", at positions 592 to 975 of the family's 1831-position model. The record is from RNAcentral.